UAAAAACUUGAAUAGGAAAGGAAGAUUCCCGAGUGGAUUGGAAAAUGGAGACUCUGCCACACAACAAGCAGAUGGACUCCAGCAGUUGUGGAGUUUUAGUGUUGAAGUUUGCCGAACACUACCUUAUGAGUGGAGAGGUUACUAGGGUGCUGUCCACUCCAGAAGCCACUGGGCUGCAACGCACAGAAAUUGCUUGCGAACUGCUAGAACAUCAAAGUAAUGCUGAUGACUACUGUGUGGUUUGUUCCAUGCUGGAAGCCGAUCC
Long non-coding RNA from Oreochromis aureus, 265 nucleotides. RefSeq lists it as uncharacterized. The record is from RefSeq and is a predicted model, not a curated record. The transcript is spliced from 3 exons. Lineage: Eukaryota; Metazoa; Chordata; Actinopteri; Cichliformes; Cichlidae.